This 86-nucleotide transfer-messenger RNA is filed under the name Flavobacteriales bacterium. RNAcentral describes it as "partial transfer-messenger RNA". It matches the Rfam family "transfer-messenger RNA", at positions 285 to 374 of the family's 374-position model. Rfam says of the family: Bacterial tmRNA, also known as 10Sa RNA or SsrA, is named for its dual tRNA and mRNA-like properties. The record is from RNAcentral. Lineage: Bacteria; Pseudomonadati; Bacteroidota; Flavobacteriia; Flavobacteriales.
UUUCUCGAAAAUAAAAUAAGAUAAACAUGUAGAAAGCUUUUUGAUUCCUUGUUAGGACGUGGGUUCGAAACCCACCAGUUCCACCA